UGGGAGGCAGGCUGACUCCACGCUUGGGUGUCGUAAGCCUGGAAGUGCUGUGGCUCAAAGGGUUGGUUUUGGGCUGUGGCUCCAGGAUCCUGGGGUACACCCUGACUUGGUGGCCAGAAUGGCCCCUGGGUGGACAGCCUGGCCUGGAACUAUACUCCCUCCCAGGACAGUGUCCCAGGGAGGUGCAGGGAGCACCAGGGGGGGCCCAAGGAGUCCCCAUCCUGACGGCCCAGGACUCGUGGUCCUUCCCCUUAUGCUGGCCCCGGAGCUGACCUCCUUGUGGGAUGUCCCUUGCCUGCCUCCUGCACAGCAGUCGGGGGUGGGACUGGUGCAGGCACAAACCUGCACAGCAUUGAGCAAGUCACUUCCUUCUGGGAUUAGGAAAUGCCCUGCCCUGUACCCCUCACCACGUUGGGUCCACAGCAACUUCCCCAUUUGCAUGCAGGGCCUGGGGGCAGGGAGCCCUGGGCUGCCACUGGCUGCGGGAGCCUCUUCUUGGAAGGAUGCCUCCAGAUGGGGUGGGCGACACCCCGAUUGGGGGGUUGGUGGGAGAUGCCCUCUAACCCCCAGUGUGUCCAGGUGCUGGACAGCCAGCAACAUGGUCCCUGCCCCCCCAAGACCAAGGGGUGCCUGUGAACCUGAACCAGGCAACAGGCUGGGGCGGGGGAGGGGUCCUCACGGCCCCAAACCAGGAAGGGACUCCAGGGGGCAGCACAGUGCUCCCAGAGGGACAGAGGGACCAGAGGGCCCAUGUAGUUGUUUCCCAGAGGUUAAAGCCCAGGGGCAGACACAGCUGUGAGAUGUUGCCCCCAGGGCUCGUGUGAAAGGGCCAUACUGCCCAACAGGUGGGCCCCAAGAGGGGCGUGCCCCGCCAGGCCAGCCCCCAGGGCUGUCUUGACCAGGCGGUUGGUGUCCACCUUCCUUUGCUGUCCUGAUUACCGCACAGACAGCAGCCUGUGGGGUGACGCCUGGGAUUGGGGGACCCCAGGGGACUGGCAGGUUCAUAUUGUUAAUCCGGAGACCGUAAGGUUCACAUCUCUGGGCUUGGAGAUGAUGGAAGCCAAGAGGCUUGUGUGGGCCACACACAGCUGGGACAGGACCCGGCCCCUCCAUGCCCCGGGGGAACCCACCUACCUGAGGGCUGGCACCCCCCGCAUGUGGCUCGGGACCGUGCGCCUGCUGUCAGAGUCCCGGCCGCCUCCCACUCCCCGCCCAGCCCCCCAGUGGCUCUACUCUCCUGCUGACUCACCAAGGAGCGGGGACUGCGGUCGGAGCAGGAAGGUGGAGCAAGGCCUUCCCCUCCUGCAGGCUGGAGGAGCGCUCAUGCUUGGCACGAAGCCCAGCCCCACUGGCUCAGCCCCAGGCCAAGGCCUGGCUGCCGCCCUCCUGCCCUCCACUCUGGCCUGCGGAAGACUGGAACACCUGUCCUUCACCUGGUGUCUCUCUUCACGGUACCUCCAUGUCCUCCAUGCCCUGGGCCCGGAAUGCUCCACACUGAGAUUAGGGGGACUCGCAGGGGCUGUGACAUCAGGUCAGCCGAGCUUGAUCCUGGGCAGCAGGAUCAAGGAACAAGGUGUUGCACUCAGCAGGGACACGGAGCCCAGCUGAGUGUAGGGUCAGGUACGCGGUGUCGCGGCGCCAUCAGCCAGGCCAUCAGGCAGCCCUCCUGGCAGAUGAGAUGUGAGUGGUGGCUGAGGCAGAGAAGGCGGAGGCCCAGCUAGGAAGCCGGACCACAGGGGUGGGUGGUUCCCUUCGGCCACUGAGGGGGCAGAGACUGGACCAGGGAGGGACAGGGCUGGUGGCUCCAUUGGCUUGUGGGGGCACUAUCUCCCGUGUCCCUCCCUCACCUGCAUUCACGGAGCACCCGCUCUGUUCCAGGCACUGUUCCAGGCACUGGGAUUGGGCCGGCCAAGCGGUUAAUGUGUUUAUUUUUCUGGGAGCCUGAACACAUCCCAGCCUCUCUAGGUGUCCAGGGUCAUUUCUGGAGAUCAAGGCAGAGCCUGUCCCCUGUGUCUGGAUGCACAGGGGAAAUCGAGCUGGGACCAGCAGCAGACGCGCUGAGCAGACAGCCCUC
This is a long non-coding RNA of Mustela lutreola (European mink), 2074 nucleotides long. RefSeq lists it as uncharacterized. The record is from RefSeq and is a predicted model, not a curated record. The transcript is spliced from 3 exons. NCBI's taxonomy places the organism in Eukaryota, Metazoa, Chordata, Mammalia, Carnivora, Mustelidae.